RNAcentral lists this ribosomal RNA (427 nucleotides) under uncultured bacterium. RNAcentral describes it as "bacterial SSU rRNA". It matches the Rfam family "Bacterial small subunit ribosomal RNA", at positions 355 to 774 of the family's 1533-position model. The record is from RNAcentral.
UGGGGAAUUUUGGACAAUGGGCGCAAGCCUGAUCCAGCAAUGCCGCGUGCAGGAUGAAGGCCCUCGGGUUGUAAACUGCUUUUGUACGGAACGAAAAAGCUCUCUCUAAUACAGGGGGUGAAUGACGGUACCGUAAGAAUAAGCACCGGCUAACUACGUGCCAGCAGCCGCGGUAAUACGUAGGGUGCAAGCGUUAAUCGGAAUUACUGGGCGUAAAGCGUGCGCAGGCGGUUUUGUAAGACAGAGGUGAAAUCCCCGGGCUCAACCUGGGAACUGCCUUUGUGACUGCAAAGCUGGAGUGCGGCAGAGGGGGAUGGAAUUCCGCGUGUAGCAGUGAAAUGCGUAGAUAUGCGGAGGAACACCGAUGGCGAAGGCAAUCCCCUGGGCCUGCACUGACGCUCAUGCACGAAAGCGUGGGGAGCAAACA